UCUUGGUUGAUCCUGCCGGAGGUCACUGCUAUUGGGAUUCGACUAAGCCAUGCGAGUCGAGAGGGUUCGGCCCUCGGCAGACGGCUCAGUAACACGUGGAUAAUCUGCCCUUAGGUGGAGGAUAACCUCGGGAAACUGAGAAUAAUACUCCAUAGAUCUAGGAGGCUGGAAUGCACUUAGAUUAAAAGUUCCGACGCCUAAGGAUGAGUCUGCGGACUAUCAGGUUGUAGUCAGGGUAAAGACCUGACUAGCCUACAACGGAUACGGGUUGUGAGAGCAAUAACCCGGAGACGAUAUCUGAGACACGAUAUCGGGCCCUACGGGGCGCAGCAGGCGCGAAACCUUCACAAUGUGCGAAAGCACGAUGAGGGAAUCCCAAGUGCUUGCUCGUAAGAGUAAGCUGUUUUUAUGUCUAAAAAGCAUAGAGAGUAAGGGCUGGGUAAGACGGGUGCCAGCCGCCGCGGUA
RNAcentral lists this ribosomal RNA (466 nucleotides) under uncultured archaeon. Its description in RNAcentral is "bacterial SSU rRNA". It matches the Rfam family "Archaeal small subunit ribosomal RNA", at positions 1 to 472 of the family's 1478-position model. The record is from RNAcentral.